RNAcentral lists this ribosomal RNA (623 nucleotides) under Caryophanales bacterium. Its description in RNAcentral is "bacterial SSU rRNA". It matches the Rfam family "Bacterial small subunit ribosomal RNA", at positions 227 to 840 of the family's 1533-position model. Lineage: Bacteria; Bacillati; Bacillota; Bacilli; Caryophanales. The record is from RNAcentral.
GGACCCGCGGCGCAUUAGCUAGUUGGUGAGGUAACGGCUCACCAAGGCGACGAUGCGUAGCCGACUUGAGAGGGUGAUCGGCCACACUGGGACUGAGACACGGCCCAGACUCCUACGGGAGGCAGCAGUAGGGAAUCUUCCGCAAUGGACGAAAGUCUGACGGAGCAACGCCGCGUGAGUGAUGAAGGUUUUCGGAUCGUAAAACUCUGUUGUUAGGGAAGAACAAGUAUCGUUCGAAUAGGGCGGUACCUUGACGGUACCUAACCAGAAAGCCACGGCUAACUACGUGCCAGCAGCCGCGGUAAUACGUAGGUGGCAAGCGUUGUCCGGAAUUAUUGGGCGUAAAGCGCGCGCAGGCGGUUUCUUAAGUCUGAUGUGAAAUCUUGCGGCUCAACCGCAAGCGGCCAUUGGAAACUGGGAGACUUGAGUGCAGAAGAGGAGAGUGGAAUUCCACGUGUAGCGGUGAAAUGCGUAGAGAUGUGGAGGAACACCAGUGGCGAAGGCGACUCUCUGGUCUGUAACUGACGCUGAGGCGCGAAAGCGUGGGGAGCGAACAGGAUUAGAUACCCUGGUAGUCCACGCCGUAAACGAUGAGUGCUAAGUGUUAGAGGGUUUCCGCCCUU